CAGCACCCUUCGUCCCCUUCACGGCCUCCACAACACCGACCAAAAUCCAACAUCUUAUACUGAAUCGAGAGCUAGGGUUCCCAUUCGAGAAUUCCUAGAAAAAUCAACCGAUGCACGAACUCGGCCAGCGCCGGUGGCACCUUCCUCCAACGCCGAAUCCUCCUCCAUAGAGACUCCUCCCCCGCGACCUGGCACCGGCUCCUCCCCCAUCCCCUCUCAUCCCCUCGGGAAGCUUCAGGAAAGUUGGCCGCCUCCGAUUGGAUGGAGGAGGUGCCGUGGCUGACGCCGGCCGUGGUUGUGGCGAUGAGGAAGCUCACCGUUGGGUCGGCGACGUACAAGUUGGUGUUACAGGUGGCGAAGAGCGUGGACCCGGCGGCGGGGGCAGUAGGCGGAGCAGUUCCGCGUGCUUCUCUCCAACGGCGUCCCCUCAUGAUGCUCUCAGAGUCCCAGCAGUCCAUGCUCCCCACCGCCAUCAACCACCUCAUCAGCGACGCGACCCUCCACUUUGGCUUUGUCGUCCACCUCUAGGACGUCACCUGCAAGAACAACAACAUCCAGCACCGCAGGUUCGUCAACCGACCAGGAUAUAUUAGCAGAUGUUGGUCCUGAUCUCCUUGGAUGCUUUGCUCCGCUUAGCAAGAAUUCGUUUGUGUGCCUUAGGAGCUAGCGAUUUCAGCAAAAAUUGUAUGCUGCGAUAGUUUUUAAGAUGCAGGCAGGUGCAGAUACUGGGGUGUUCACGCAACUUGGGGGUUUCGACUUGUGUUUAUUUGAAGUUAAUGAUAUCCUGCCGUAGAUUCAUUGUUGGUUUCCACAAAUAGGCCAAUUGACAGUGAAACUCGAAUUUUGUGUUGGAUUAGUGGGUAUUAACAAUCCUCAAAAAAUUUGUUGUUCAACUCAUAAGCAAUUAAGCAUUAAAAUUUUGUGAAUUAAUUGGUAAUUUAAUUUUCUAAGAUGUGCCUUUUCUCUAUAUGUCUGAUAGACUCGAAUUUAGGAUCACUGGAUGAGAUUUCAUUAUAGUUAAUGAACAAAUUUCAGUGGUGGAAUUUAGCACCAGUAGAUGAAGAAUUUCAGUUCACUUCAUGAAGAAAUUCCAGUGGCGUAAACAGCUAGGAAUUCAUUCGAGUGGUUUUCUUUUUUUUUUUACUUGUUGCACAAACUGUGCUCUUUUUCAACGAGCUAGCAUGGCAUCCGUUCACGCAUCUGUUCUCAUGAAAAUAUUUGUCUAGCUCUGAAAUCCAUUAAAUUCACUAAAAAAAUCUUUUGUGUAAAUGAAUUUUGUGUUUCUUAUUGUGAAAGUAAUAUCCAGGCAUGUCUGAACUUGGAGCAUAAGAGCUAACAUCACCCCUGUAGUCCUAGAGAAGUCCCGCUCUUCAGAAAUCAGUUUUAACUUGCUUUUCUAUUGGUGAUCUUUUUUUACUAUUGGACCUUCAGUGAAAUUGUGAUGUGAAAUUUCUCUAUGUUCUAAUCAUCCGAAAGUAACAUGGCAUGUGUCCACAUAGUUGUUCUCAUGACACUAUUUGUCUGGCUCUGACAUCCAUUAUAUUCACCUCUCGAUACCGAGAUGAUCAUGUAGAAGACGGACGAGUAGAUAAAGAAAGAGCCAGAGUUUAAGGCUAUAGCCAGGAAGGCAUACAUAAUCGCAGUGUCUUGCUUGGACAAGCAAAAUGUACCGCUGCCAGUUGUGAUGCAGCUCUUGGAUAUGGACGAGAUACUGGAAAUAAUACAUGUUGAUCCACUAUUUCUUUUACUUUUUUUCUUGACCUCUAAGGACAUCUUUUCAUAAUUGCCUAGAUUGAUUUUUUAUGGGCUUAUCUAGAUUGUUAUUAUUCGCUCAGAUUAAUAUGGUUGAGGUGUUGGCUUUUCACCACCUUGGUUCUCAUGUGUAAGU
Molecule: long non-coding RNA, 1888 nt
Organism: Lolium perenne
Lineage: Eukaryota; Viridiplantae; Streptophyta; Magnoliopsida; Poales; Poaceae
Source: RefSeq, a predicted model, not a curated record